CAUGCAAGUCGAACGCUGAAGCACUCUGCUUGCAGAGUGCGGAUGAGUGGCGAACGGGUGAGUAACACGUGGGAAAUCUGCCUAGGAGUGGGGGAUAACAUUCGGAAACGGAUGCUAAUACCGCAUAUCUUCAUAGACCGCAUGGUCUAUGAAUGAAAGACGGCUUCGGCUGUCGCUCUUAGAUGAUCCCGCGGCGUAUUAGUUAGUUGGUGAGGUAAUGGCUCACCAAGACAACGAUGGGUAACCGGCCUGAGAGGGUGAACGGUCACACUGGAACUGAGACACGGUCCAGACUCCUACGGGAGGUAGCAGUGGGGAAUAUUGCACAAUGGAGGAAACUCUGAUGCAGCGACGUCGCGUGAACGAUGAAGGUUUUCGGAUCGUAAAGUUCUGUCCUUGGGGACGAUAAUGACGGUACCCAAGGAGGAAGCCCCGGCUAACUACGUGCCAGCAGCCGCGGUAAUACGUAGGGGGCAAGCGUUGUCCGGAAUUAUUGGGCGUAAAGGGAGCGCAGGCGGUUGGAAUAGUCUGAUGUGAAAGCCCACGGCUUGACCGUGGAAGGUCAUUGGAAACUGUCCAACUUGAAUGCAGAAGAGGUAAGUGGAAUUCCAUGUGUAGCGGUGAAAUGCGUAGAUAUAUGGAGGAACACCAGUGGCGAAGGCGACUUACUGGUCUGUAAUUGACGCUGAGGCUCGAAAGCGUGGGUAGCGAACAGGAUUAGAUACCCUGGUAGUCCACGCCGUAAACGAUGAGUGCUAAGUGUUGGAGGGUUUCCGCCCUUCAGUGCUGGAGUUAACGCA
Molecule: ribosomal RNA, 800 nt
Filed under: uncultured bacterium
Lineage: Bacteria
Description: bacterial SSU rRNA
Rfam family: Bacterial small subunit ribosomal RNA
Source: RNAcentral